CCUACGGGAGGCAGCAGUGGGGGAUAUUGCACAAUGGGGGAAACCCUGAUGCAGCGACGCCGCGUGAGUGAAGAAGUAUUUCGGUAUGUAAAGCUCUAUUAGCAGGGAAGAAAAUGACAGUACCUGACCAAGAAGCCCCGUCUAACUACGUGCCAGCAGCCGCGGUAAUAAGUAGGGGGCAGGAGUUCUCCGGAUUUACUGGGUGUAAAGGUGGCGUAUACGGUUAUGUAAGUCUGGAGUGAAAGCCCGGGGCCCAACCCCCGGCCUGCUUUGGACACUGUGUAACUGGAGUACAGGAGGGGCAGGCGGAAUGCCUGGUGUAGCGGGGAAAUGCGUAGAUAUCAGGAAGAACACCGGCGGCGAAGGCGGCCUACUGGACUGAAACUGACGUUGAGGCUCGAAAGCGUGGGGAGCAAACAGGAUUAGAUACCCCUGUAGUC
RNAcentral lists this ribosomal RNA (440 nucleotides) under uncultured bacterium. Its description in RNAcentral is "partial 16S ribosomal RNA". It matches the Rfam family "Bacterial small subunit ribosomal RNA", at positions 338 to 795 of the family's 1533-position model. The record is from RNAcentral.